UGAGGCCUCGGGGGGCAGCAGUGGGGGAUAUUGGACAAUGGGGGAAACCCUGAUCCAGCGACGCCGCGUGAGUGAAGAAGUAUUUCGGUAUGUAAAGCUCUGUCAGCAGGGAAGAAAGAAAUGACGGUACCUGACCAAGAAGCCCCGGCUAACUACGUGCCAGCAGCCGCGGUAAUACGUAGGGGGCAAGCGUUAUCCGGAAUUACUGGGUGUAAAGGGAGCGUAGACGGUGAUGCAAGUCUGGAGUGAAAGGCGGGGGCCCAACCCCCGGACUGCUCUGGAAACUGUGUAACUUGAGUGCAGGG
RNAcentral lists this ribosomal RNA (305 nucleotides) under uncultured bacterium. RNAcentral's name for it is "partial 16S ribosomal RNA". It matches the Rfam family "Bacterial small subunit ribosomal RNA", at positions 331 to 653 of the family's 1533-position model. The record is from RNAcentral.